This 72-nucleotide transfer RNA is filed under the name Ailuropoda melanoleuca (giant panda). It matches the Rfam family "tRNA". Rfam says of the family: Transfer RNA (tRNA) molecules are approximately 80 nucleotides in length. Their secondary structure includes four short double-helical elements and three loops (D, anti-codon, and T loops). The record is from Rfam by way of RNAcentral. Lineage: Eukaryota; Metazoa; Chordata; Mammalia; Carnivora; Ursidae.
GCCUGACUGGCUCAGUCGGUAGAGCAUGUGACUCUUGAUUUCAAGUCAUGCGUUCAAGCCCCACGUUGGGUG